AACGAACGCUGGCGGCAGGCUUAACACAUGCAAGUCGAACGCACCUUUCGGGGUGAGUGGCAGACGGGUGAGUAACGCGUGGGAAUCUACCCUUCUCUACGGGACAGCUCCGGGAAACUGGAAUUAAUACAGUAUACGUUCUGAGGGAGAAAGAUCUAUCGGGGAAGGAUGAGCCCGCGUUGGAUUCGCUAGUUGGUGGGGUAAAGGCCUACCAAGGCGAGGAUCCAUAGCUGGUCUAAGAGGAUGACCAGCCACAUUGGGACUGAGACACGGCCCAAACUCCGACGGGGGGGAGCAGUAUAGAAUAUUGGGCAAUGGGCGCAAGCCUGAUCCAGCCAUGCCGCGUGAGUGAUGAAGGCCCUAGGAUUGUAAAGCUCUUUCAGUGGAGACGAUAAUGACGGUACCCACAGAAGAAGCCCCGGCUAACUUCGUG
RNAcentral lists this ribosomal RNA (433 nucleotides) under uncultured bacterium. Its description in RNAcentral is "partial 16S ribosomal RNA". It matches the Rfam family "Bacterial small subunit ribosomal RNA", at positions 29 to 507 of the family's 1533-position model. The record is from RNAcentral.